This is a long non-coding RNA of Photinus pyralis (common eastern firefly), 509 nucleotides long. RefSeq lists it as uncharacterized. The transcript has 2 exons. Lineage: Eukaryota; Metazoa; Arthropoda; Insecta; Coleoptera; Lampyridae. The record is from RefSeq and is a predicted model, not a curated record.
CUUCACGUCUUAUUUCCCUUAUUAUAUGUGAUCAUAAUUUUAUGUCAGCGAGGCCAUCGUGCCUUACACUUUAUUUCGCAUGCUAAAUUCGAAUAAUGCUAAAGAAACUGUCAUGUGAACAAAAAUAGAUGUGCUAUAAAUUAAUCAUUUCUUUCUUUAAAUUUUUUUGUUAUUUUUGCGUAUUUGAGGUAAAGAAAGUAUUGUUUGUUGAUGGCGUCUCGGUCGGCCAAUUUAUCACUUGACCGCGCGUGAUUGCGACUUCAAGAGCUUCUUCGAGUACUAGUGAUUAAUGGAGGUUGUUUGGAAGGGAAAGUUACGGGGUAGAUGAAAAAUAAUACUGAUGGUCACACUUGGGGGCAUUACAAAAACGUGGACAGAUAGCGGAGGAGUUAAAUUCCAUUGUGGGAAAUGCAUUUCGGAUGGCGUACGCGGCUCAACUACAGAAACAACCAACAUUACAAGAUGUUAUUAGCUCACAAUUAGAUUCUAAUACUGAUAAAGUACUUUGG